UAGGGAAUCUUCCACAAUGGACGCAAGUCUGAUGGAGCAACGCCGCGUGAGUGAAGAAGGUUUUCGGAUCGUAAAGCUCUGUUGUUGGUGAAGAAGGAUAGAGGUAGUAACUGGCCUUUAUUUGACGGUAAUCAACCAGAAAGUCACGGCUAACUACGUGCCAGCAGCCGCGUUAAUACGUAGGUGGCAAGCGUUGUCCGGAUUUAUUGGGCGUAAAGCGAGCGCAGGCGGAAGAAUAAGUCUGAUGUGAAAGCCCUCGGCUUAACCGAGGAACUGCAUCGAAAUCUGUUUUUCUUGAGUGCAGAAGAUGAGAGUGGAAUUCCAUGUGUAGCGGUGGAAUGCGUAGAUAAAUGACAGAUCACCAGUGGCGAAGGCGACUCUCUGGUCUGCAACUGACGCUGAGGCUCGAAAGCAUGGGUAGCGAACAGG
RNAcentral lists this ribosomal RNA (429 nucleotides) under Bacillota bacterium. RNAcentral's name for it is "Firmicutes bacterium partial 16S ribosomal RNA". It matches the Rfam family "Bacterial small subunit ribosomal RNA", at positions 355 to 776 of the family's 1533-position model. Lineage: Bacteria; Bacillati; Bacillota. The record is from RNAcentral.